This 433-nucleotide ribosomal RNA is filed under the name uncultured bacterium. RNAcentral describes it as "partial 16S ribosomal RNA". It matches the Rfam family "Bacterial small subunit ribosomal RNA", at positions 29 to 507 of the family's 1533-position model. The record is from RNAcentral.
AACGAACGCUGGCGGCAUGCCUAACACAUGCCAGUCGAACGAGACCUUCGGGUCUAGUGGCGCACGGGUGCGUAACGCGUGGGAACCUGCCCUUAGGUUCGGAAUAACUCCCCGAAAGGGGUGCUAAUACCGGAUAAUGUCUUCGGACCAAAGAUUUAUCGCCUUUGGAUGGGCCCGCGUUGGAUUAGCUAGUUGGUAGGGUAAAAGCCUACCAAGGCGACGAUCCAUAGCUGGUCUGAGAGGAUGAUCAGCCACACUGGGACUGAGACACGGCCCAGACUCCUACGGGAGGCAGCAGUGGGGAAUAUUGGACAAUGGGCGAAAGCCUGAUCCAGCAAUGCCGCGUGAGUGAUGAAGGCCUUAGGGUUGUAAAGCUCUUUUACCCGGGAUGAUAAUGACAAUACCGGGAGAAUAAGCUCCGGCUAACUCCGUG